GACGAACGCUGGCGGCGUGCUUAACACAUGCAAGUCGAACGGAAAGGCCCUGCUUUUGUGGGGUGCUCGAGUGGCGAACGGGUGAGUAACACGUGAGUAACCUGCCCUUGACUUUGGGAUAACUUCAGGAAACUGGGGCUAAUACCGGAUAGGAGCUCCUGCUGCAUGGUGGGGGUUGGAUAGUUUCGGCGGUUGGGGAUGGACUCGCGGCUUAUCAGCUUGUUGGUGGGGUAGUGGCUUACCAAGGCUUUGACGGGUAGCCGGCCUGAGAGGGUGACCGGCCACAUUGGGACUGAGAUACGGCCCAGACUCCUACGGGAGGCAGCACUGGGGAAUAUUGCACAAUGGGCGGAAGCCUGAUGCAGCAACGCCGCGUGCGGGAUGACGGCCUUCGGGUUGUAAACCGCUUUCGCCUGUGACGAAGCGUGAGUGACGGUAAUGGGUAAAGAAGCACCGGCUAACUACGUG
This 468-nucleotide ribosomal RNA is filed under the name uncultured bacterium. RNAcentral's name for it is "partial 16S ribosomal RNA". It matches the Rfam family "Bacterial small subunit ribosomal RNA", at positions 28 to 507 of the family's 1533-position model. The record is from RNAcentral.